Molecule: long non-coding RNA, 482 nt
Filed under: Homo sapiens (human)
Lineage: Eukaryota; Metazoa; Chordata; Mammalia; Primates; Hominidae
Description: non-protein coding lnc-LTBP1-4:2
Source: RNAcentral
GGUUUCUCCAUGUUGGCCAGACUAGUCUCAAACUCCUGACCUCAGGUGAUCUACCUGCCUCAGCCUCCCAAAGUGAUGGGAUUACAGAUGUGAGCCACUGUGCCAGGUCUAAAUUUUAUUUUUGGAUUGUCUAUUGUUAGCAUAUAGAAACACAGUUGAUUUUUAUAUAUUAAUUAUAUCUUGCAACCUUGCUGAGCUCAUUUAUUACUUCUAGUAGGUGAAAUUAUUCCUAAAUCAGCUUGUUUUUAAGCUUGUUAAAGUGGGUCUGGAGUUGUCCUUAUUUUCUCAUAACUCUUUAAAAAAAAAAAUCAACCAGCCCUCUAAUAACCUUUUCUUAAGGUAUAACCUCUCUGGGAUUGAAUUUAAUGCCAUGGGCAAUCAAUAAGAACUCUCCAGUUUUGCUAGUUUAGAAUUUGAAUAACUUCUAGCACAGUGUGACCUCCAAAAUCUCCAUUCAGCUCACAGCUUUCUGGUAGUUAUUC